CAGGGCUUUGCAAAUAAGGAACAGCCUGUUUUGCAGGAGCAGGUGGUGAUAUCUGCACUGUAAUUCUGAAGUUUUACCUUCCAUCCCAUUCUCCUGUGAUUUUUUUUUUUCCCGCUUUGUUGCAUAAGAAAAAGAAAAGAAAGGCAGCCAGCCUCCUUGUCCUCGGGGAGCACUUCCUCCCCUCUGCAAUGGGAAUGUUUUUUGGACUGGAAUUGCUGCUAUUUGCAAACUUGUUCAGCCCCUGACUUUUCUCGUUGGGUGAGUGCGGCUCUCCCGCACAGAGCAACGCGCACCUGCUGUCUGCCAGCACUGAGUGACGGCUGCUGAUGGAAUCUACGUGGGAAAGCCCUUCGCCAUCAAAAGGCUCUGGCUGUGUGGACGGAUGCAGAGUACUGCCCGUUGGCUCUGACCUAGCCAGGCACAAGCCAGCUCCAGGCUGGGAGCGCACCGCAGCGCGUGCUGGCUGGCCACUGACCCCGAGCUGUCCCAGCCUGGCUGGAACUGCAUCCCCACGUGCUGAGGAGAGCUGCCCUCUGGAAGGCGUCUCUGCUGCUGCUGUGAGAACACAAUCCUGGUGAGAGAGGCCCAGCUAAGCACAGCUCCUUUCAGAUUUGGCCGCUCAGUGUUUUCCAUUAGCUUGAUACAUGCUGUUUACAUCCUACUGCCGCCAGUGCCAGAGAUAACUGCCUUGGGAGCAGCUCCCUGCAGGAAAAUACUGUCUGUGCUCCUCAGAAGGACUUGAUGCGAACUGUUGCCAGAGAUUUGUCACUCGGUGGAUGGAGUGCGGGAUGGAACAUAGCAGCUCCUGCUGGUGCCUUUGUCAUUGCUCCAAGUCGAAGAUCUCCAAGUGCUCUAUAAUGAUAAGAG
This 867-nucleotide long non-coding RNA is filed under the name Gallus gallus (chicken). RNAcentral's name for it is "lncRNA (ENSGALG00010008926.1)". The record is from RNAcentral. Lineage: Eukaryota; Metazoa; Chordata; Aves; Galliformes; Phasianidae.